Molecule: unclassified non-coding RNA, 205 nt
Filed under: plant metagenome
Description: partial contains small subunit ribosomal RNA, internal transcribed spacer 1, and 5.8S ribosomal RNA
Source: RNAcentral
UUUCCGUAGGUGAACCUGCGGAAGGAUCAUUAUCGUAGGGCUUCUGUCCUGUCGAGAUAGCGUCCUGCCUAUUUUUUGGAGUACCUUUUGUUUCCUCGGCAGGCUUGCCUGCCACUGGGGACCCUUUAAACUCUUUGUAACUACAGUAUCUGUCUGAAAAACAAACAAAAAAUCAAAACUUUCAACAAUGGAUCUCUUGGUUCUG